Molecule: ribosomal RNA, 247 nt
Filed under: uncultured bacterium
Lineage: Bacteria
Description: partial 16S ribosomal RNA
Rfam family: Bacterial small subunit ribosomal RNA
Source: RNAcentral
AUACGAAGGGUGCAAGCGUUAAUCGGAAUUACUGGGCGUAAAGCGCGCGUAGGUGGUUCAGCAAGUUGGAUGUGAAAGCCCCGGGCUCAACCUGGGAACUGCAUCCAAAACUACUGGGCUAGAGUAUGGUAGAGGGUGGUGGAAUUUCCUGUGUAGCGGUGAAAUGCGUAGAUAUAGGAAGGAACACCAGUGGCGAAGGCGACCACCUGGACUAAUACUGACACUGAGGUGCGAAAGCGUGGGGAGC